Molecule: long non-coding RNA, 1914 nt
Organism: Dreissena polymorpha
Lineage: Eukaryota; Metazoa; Mollusca; Bivalvia; Myida; Dreissenidae
Exons: 2
Source: RefSeq, a predicted model, not a curated record
GUAGAGCGGAAAAUGCAAUUUUUUUUAAGAAGCACCCAUUAAAUGCAUAAUUGUCAUUCAUUUAUUUUAUCCUGUGUAUUUAAUAUUUAUAAAUGAUAUUAUGUCUAAUUGAAAUCUGUAAUAAUAUAUAUAUAUAGUUCCCUGUAUGAAUUUGUUAUAGAUUAAAAUGAAAUGUUUUGUUUCAUUUGGGAAUAUUUCAUAGACUACCAUGUUUUUGUCUGUUUAAAUUAAUUGUAUACAUUGUUGUAUUUUGAACAAUAUUAACAUUAGUAUUAAAUGAGCGUCUAGCAAUAGCCAAAAGUAUGUAUCGGGAUAAACUUAUUUUAUUUGGGUUCAUUUACAUUCAAGUAGAAUGCAUUUUUAAGGUGUUUAUUAUUAGUAUAUACCGUAGGACUUUAAGAUAAUAUUAUUUUCAAUAAUGUAGUUGUAUUUUGCUUUUGUUAAUUAUUGCUAAAUAAAAAUUAGAGUUUGAUAUAGAUAAUACUGGGACAAUGCUACAUAUAUAUGCCUAACAGAAUGUGUCCUGCAUUUAGAAAGUGACUUAAUAUAAACAUACUUGAGCUGUGAUUUGGAAGAAUAUGUAUUCAAUACAUGUGCAUAUAGGAUUGUCCCAGAUGAGUCUAUGAGCGCUAAUGAGGGACGACAGUUUCUCUUGCUUUUAUUAAAUUUCAGUCUUCAGAAGUAAAUUAGGGGCCAUUCGUUAUAGGUCAAUAUUUAUGCAUCUAAAACUUGAGAAUAAGCAGCAACAGUUUAUGUUCUUUGAUCAAUUACUUAUGAUUGGAUUGAGAUAAUGUGCUGAAGAUUUGUGGAAGUGUAUACCCAGCUUACAUACCCUACCUGGAUUCCAUUUCGAGCCAGUUGGGUUAAAGUCUAUGUCACUAUUAUUAAAAUUAGACAAACUACACUCAGUAACACCGCUUUUAUAUUAGGGUAUUGUUCCUAAAUUGUAUGAAUUGUUAGCUCACUGCUUUUAUAUUAGGGUAUUGUUCCUAAAUUGUAUGAACUGUUAGCUCACCGCUUUUAUAUUAGGGUAUUGUUCCUAAAUUGUAUGAAUUGUUAGCUCACCGCUUUUAUAUUAGGGUAUUGUUCCUAAAUUGUAUGAACUGUUAGCUCACCGCUUUUAUAUUAGGGUAUUGUUCCUAAAUUGUAUGAAUUGUUAGCUUACGUGUAGAUCUAGCUUGGGAAAACUAGAUACAAGUCAAAGUCACUGUAAGUUAAUUAAAAAAUUCCGCUUACAUAACUUAAAUUGUAUGAAGAAUUUCCGCUGUUUUUGUAGGUGUAGGUAGAUUCCACGCAGUCUUAGGUGAUGUAAGCGUGUAUUUCAAUCCCUCUGACACCUUACAUGUAAAACAGAAUUAGUUUGCAUUAUAUUUAAUUGAGUCUUAUAAUGUGAGCAUAUUGUUCCUACUGAAAAUGUUUGUAAGGGCAGUGCAAAUUGCAAAAUAUUGUUACUUGUCUUUUAUUCAAGAAAAUGCUGUGGGUAUACCACGUACACUACUUUAUGUAUGGACCCACCUUUUGUCUUCUUGAUCUCGACUGCUCUGUAUACAUGUUAUUCUUAUACUUAUUUCUUAUUGCAUUUGAUAAAUGUUGUAUUGAUGAGGAAGAUCAAAUGUUCAUUUUACUGUCUUGAACAAGUUUAGGUUACAGCUAAUUUCAUAAAACAAAAUUGCCACAUAAUAAUGCAUAGUUUAUUAUGUAACAUGAAACUUUUCUAUGUGUCAUAAAAUACAACAGUGUACGAAACCAAUUUGCCAAAACACUUUUAGUUUUAAUUUCUAAAUCUUGUAAUAUAUAAAUGUGUGUCUUUUGUGACACUAUAUUAUGUUGGCAAUGUAUGCUUAUGAAUUUCUAUUAAACGCAAAUGUUAUUAUUUAUUUAAAUAAAGACUAAUAAUAAAUAAUGUAAACAAUU